AAUCGCCAAUCUUUAACCUGUGGUCGAUAGAUGGCACCAAUGGCUACAUUUUCUUCUUGGACAGCCAUGCUCUCAGGUGUCCGUGCCGGAAGUUAUUCGAGGAACAAAGUUCCUUACCCUGUUUGAGAAAAUGUAAAAUUUUCCUCAUUUUUGCACCAAGUUUUGCCUAUAACUCGGUCGGUAUCCAACGGAUUGCCAAUCUUUAACCUGUGGUCGAUAGAUGGCACCAAUGGCUACAUUUUCUUCUUGGACAGCCAUGCUCUCAGGUGUCCGUGCCGGAAGUUAUUCGAGGAACAAAGUUCCUUACCCUGUUUGAGAAAAUGUAAAAUUUUCCUCAUUUUUGCACCAAGUUUUGCCUAUAACUCGGUCGGUAUCCAACGGAUUGCCAAUCUUUAACCGUUGGUCGAUAGAUGGCACCAAUGGCUACAUUUUCUUCUUGGACAGCCAUGCUCUCAAGUGUCCGUGCCGGAAGUUAUUCGAGGAACAAAGUUCCUUGCCCUGUUUGAGAAAAUGUAAAAUUUUCCUCAUUUUUGCACCAAGUUUUGCCUAUAACUCGGUCGGUAUCCAACGGAUCGCCAAUCUUUAACCU
Molecule: long non-coding RNA, 589 nt
Organism: Anopheles funestus (African malaria mosquito)
Lineage: Eukaryota; Metazoa; Arthropoda; Insecta; Diptera; Culicidae
Exons: 3
Source: RefSeq, a predicted model, not a curated record